GGGCCCGCACAAGCGGUGGAGCAUGUGGUUUAAUUCGAUGCAACGCGAAAAACCUUACCUACCCUUGACAUCCCUGAAAUUGGCUAGCAAUAGCUGAGUGCCUUCGGGAAUCAGGUGACAGGUGCUGCAUGGCUGUCGUCAGCUCGUGUCGUGAGAUGUUAGGUUAAGUCCUGCAACGAGCGCAACCCCUAUACUUAUUUGCCAGCACGUUAUGGUGGGGACUAUAAGUAAACUGCCGGUGAUAAACCGGAGGAAGGUGGGGAUGAUGUCAAGUCAUCAUGGCCCUUAUGGGUAGGGCUACACACGUGCUACAAUGGACAGUACAAUUGGUUGCUAACCCGCGAGGGGGAGCUAAUCCGAGAAAGCUGUUCUCAGUCCGAUUGGAGUCUGCAACUCGACUCCAUGAAGUCGGAAUCGCUAGUAAUCG
Molecule: ribosomal RNA, 427 nt
Filed under: uncultured bacterium
Lineage: Bacteria
Description: bacterial SSU rRNA
Rfam family: Bacterial small subunit ribosomal RNA
Source: RNAcentral